UACGUAGGGUGCAAGCGUUAAUCGGAAUUACUGGGCGUAAAGCGUGCGCAGGCGGUUAUGUAAGACAGAUGUGAAAUCCCAGGGCUCAACCUUGGAACUGCAUUUGUGACUGCAUAGCUAGAGUACGGUAGAGGGGGAUGGAAUUCCGCGUGUAGCAGUGAAAUGCGUAGAUAUCAGGAAGAACACCAACGGCGAAGGCAGCUCGCUGGGACGGUACUGACGCUGAGACGCGAAAGCGUGGGGAGCGAACAGG
Molecule: ribosomal RNA, 253 nt
Filed under: uncultured bacterium
Lineage: Bacteria
Description: partial 16S ribosomal RNA
Rfam family: Bacterial small subunit ribosomal RNA
Source: RNAcentral